Molecule: ribosomal RNA, 478 nt
Filed under: uncultured bacterium
Lineage: Bacteria
Description: partial 16S ribosomal RNA
Rfam family: Bacterial small subunit ribosomal RNA
Source: RNAcentral
GAUGAACGCUGGCGGCGUGCUUAACACAUGCAAGUCGAACGGGAAACCUUUUAUUGAAGCUUCGGCAGAUUUAGCUGGUUUCUAGUGGCGGACGGGUGAGUUACGCGUGGGUAACCUGCCUUAUACAGGGGGAUAACAGUCAGAAAUGGCUGCUAAUACCGCAUAAGCGCACAGAGCUGCAUGGCUCAGUGUGCAAAACUCCGGUGGUAUAAGAUGGACCCGCGUUGGAUUAGCUGGUUGGUGGGGUAACGGCCCACCAAGGCGACGAUCCAUAGCCGGCCGGGGAGGGUGAACGGGCACAUUGGGACUGAGGCACGGCCCAGACUCCUACGGGAGGCAGCAGUGGGGAAUAUUGCACAAUGGGGGAAACCCUGAUGCAGCGACGCCGCGUGAAGGAAGAAGUAUCUCGGUAUGUAAACUUCUAUCAGCAGGGAAGAUAAUGACGGUACCUGACUAAGAAGCCCCGGCUAACUACGUG